CAACGCCGGGAAACUCACCAGAUAAGACAGCUGAAUGAUAGUCGGGCUGAAGACUCUACUUGACUAGCUGAGAGGAGGUGCAUGGCCGUCGUCAGUUCGUACUGUGAAGCAUCCUGUUAAGUCAGGCAACGAGCGAGACCCACGCCAACAGUUGCCAGCUCGUCCUCCGGGAUGGUGGGGACACUGUUGGGACCGCCUCUGCUAAAGAGGAGGAAGGAAUGGGCAACGGUAGGUCAGCAUGCCCCGAAUUAUCUGGGCUACACGCGGGCUACAAUGGGUGGGACAAUGGGUAUCGACACCGAAAGGUGAAGGCAAUCUCCUAAACCCAUCCGUAGUUCGGAUUGUGGGCUGCAACUCGCCCACAUGAAGCUGGAAUCUGUAGUAAUCGUGUCUCAAAAUGGCACGGUGAAUAUGUCCCUGCUCCUU
RNAcentral lists this ribosomal RNA (426 nucleotides) under uncultured Methanomicrobiales archaeon. RNAcentral's name for it is "bacterial SSU rRNA". It matches the Rfam family "Archaeal small subunit ribosomal RNA", at positions 913 to 1338 of the family's 1478-position model. Lineage: Archaea; Methanobacteriati; Methanobacteriota; Methanomicrobia; Methanomicrobiales. The record is from RNAcentral.